ACAAAUGUACAUGCUGGAGGGAGUAUCGAGGUGGAACAUGAACCGGGCAAAGGAAGCUGUAGCUGUGGUGGGGGCAUCAACCCUGAGGACAUUUGAUGUUCGCUUGAUGUCUCACCUAAACAGCAUGAGCCAGCGGGUCCUUGGUUGUUCUCUGGUUCCAGAAUUCACCCCACCUGGAAAACCUACUGGCGAGCGCAUUGCUGUGGAGUACCUGUUGGCCCAGUCCAAUAGAGGCGACCUGCUGGUUCCACAGCAGCUGCCAGAGAUCCCCACAGAGGAGCUCGAGGACGACGGGGGUGAACCUGACGUCACGGUGUGCCAGGUAGCUGACCUUAGGGUAGGUGAUCUUGAUCCUCCAAUAUGUGCCGUGGAACCAGGUGACACUGGAGGGUGACAGUGGACCCAGAUCCCUGGAUGAGGACAUCAUUGUGGAGGAAGACGACACACAAGACAGCACAUCAGACCAGAAUAGCCGAUGUGAUUCCAGAGGUGUCUUGGGCUGGGAUGCGGUUGAUGACCUGGCAGCCUACCUGGUUGGCCUGAACCGAACCAUCACUGCCUUGUCAUCAAAAGAGGAGGCUGACAUAGUCCAUCUUUACAUGGCUCUCCCUGCUAUGGACAAGGAACCUUUGAGGUUCGGCCAGAAAGCCAGGAAGAAGACCGUGGCAGGACCUUGGAGAGCGCCCAGGAAGCCGAGUGGCUCUGCUCCUGGACAGCAGGCGGCAGAGAGACUGUUCAUGACUCACGGGCAGGCAGCCCAGGACCCCGAAGUCCACAGGGUCAGCGAAUGUGUUUGCCUGAGACUUUUAAAAGAGUUUCAGCAAGCACCAAACAGGCCCAAGGACACAAGGAGUAGAACUCUG
Molecule: long non-coding RNA, 863 nt
Organism: Osmerus eperlanus (European smelt)
Lineage: Eukaryota; Metazoa; Chordata; Actinopteri; Osmeriformes; Osmeridae
Exons: 4
Source: RefSeq, a predicted model, not a curated record